GUACAGGGAGUGGAUUUGCAUGAAGGGGCCGUUCUCCAGCGCUGGGGGUUUAAGAGGGAAUCGGAGGGUCCCAGCCACAGACCCGUUUGCCUCAGGAAGCCGAGCUCGUCUGGAUUCCCACCAUGGCCUGGGCCCCUCUGCUCCUCACGCUGCUCACUUACUGCUCUGGUUCCCUCUCCCAGGUUACUCUGACUCAGCCGCCCUCAGUGUCAGUGUCCAUUGGCAACACAGUUAAACUCUCCUGCGCCUUUGACAAUAGAUACACAUUUGGAAGUGUCCUCUGGUACCAACAGAAAGAUGGGAACAGCCCAAGAUACCUUCUGAGUUACAACAGUGACUCUGACAAGCACCAGGGCUCGGGGGUCCCCAGUCGCUUUUCUGGUUCCAAAGACGCCUCUAAUACAAUCUGUUACUUAACCAUCACCAGCGUCCAAGCAGAGGAUGAGGCUGAUUAUUACUGGGCCAGUUCGCAGCCCACGCUGACCCAGCCGCCUGCAGACUCAGUGUCCUUGGGAAACACCGUGAAACUCUCCUGCACUCUGAGCAGUCAGCACAGCAGCUACACUGUCGAAUGGUGUUACAUCAGCGACAGUUCCAAGGAGGACCCUUUGACCCAGCCAUUGAUGGAUACGUCGGAACCCGACCCCGAAACCCUCGUGAAGCACCCCGAUGAACGUGACGGCCUCUCUUUGUCCACCCCCUCAGAGGUGGAAGGCGAUCGCGGCUCGGGGGAGGCACCGGCGGACAAAGUGAAUGGAAAAGACGGAGCUCAG
This is a non-coding RNA of Chrysemys picta bellii (western painted turtle), 773 nucleotides long. The record is from the annotation of a RefSeq genome assembly. NCBI's taxonomy places the organism in Eukaryota, Metazoa, Chordata, Testudines, Emydidae.